GAUCGGGUAGCUCAGCGGCCAGAGCACCGGGCUCAUAUCCCGGUUGUCGGAGGUUCAAAUCCUUCCCCGAUCU
Molecule: transfer RNA, 73 nt
Filed under: Verrucomicrobiales bacterium
Lineage: Bacteria; Pseudomonadati; Verrucomicrobiota; Verrucomicrobiia; Verrucomicrobiales
Also listed under: 1 other name
Description: tRNA-Met
Rfam family: tRNA
About the family: Transfer RNA (tRNA) molecules are approximately 80 nucleotides in length. Their secondary structure includes four short double-helical elements and three loops (D, anti-codon, and T loops). Further hydrogen bonds mediate the characteristic L-shaped molecular structure. tRNAs have two regions of fundamental functional importance: the anti-codon, which is responsible for specific mRNA codon recognition, and the 3' end, to which the tRNAs corresponding amino acid is attached (by aminoacyl-tRNA synthetases). tRNAs cope with the degeneracy of the genetic code in two manners: having more than one tRNA (with a specific anti-codon) for a particular amino acid; and 'wobble' base-pairing, i.e. permitting non-standard base-pairing at the 3rd anti-codon position.
Source: RNAcentral